RNAcentral lists this ribosomal RNA (253 nucleotides) under uncultured bacterium. RNAcentral describes it as "partial 16S ribosomal RNA". It matches the Rfam family "Bacterial small subunit ribosomal RNA", at positions 524 to 776 of the family's 1533-position model. The record is from RNAcentral.
UACGUAGAGGGCAAGCGUUGUCCGGAUUUACUGGGCGUAAAGAGCGUGUAGGCGGCCACGCAGGUCCGUUGUGAAAACUGGAGGCUCAACCUCCAGCUGUCGACGGAAACCGUAUGGCUAGAGUCCGGAAGAGGAGAGUGGAAUUCCUGGUGUAGCGGUGAAAUGCGCAGAUAUCAGGAAGAACACCAAUGGCGAAGGCAGCUCUCUGGGACGGUACUGACGCUGAGACGCGAAAGCGUGGGGAGCGAACAGG